RNAcentral lists this ribosomal RNA (800 nucleotides) under uncultured bacterium. RNAcentral's name for it is "bacterial SSU rRNA". It matches the Rfam family "Bacterial small subunit ribosomal RNA", at positions 79 to 898 of the family's 1533-position model. The record is from RNAcentral.
UAUAAUUGUCAGCUAAGUGGCGCACGGGUGAGUAAUGUAUAGAUAACCUGCCCUUAAGAAAGGAAUAACAGUUGGAAACGACUGCUAAUGCCCUAUAUGCCUUUAAUACAUAAGUAUGCAAGGGAAACGCUUUAGUGCUUAAGGAUGGGUCUGUAUGGUAUCAGCUUGUUGGUGAGGUAAUGGCUCACCAAGGCUAUGACGCCUAACUGGUUUGAGAGGAUGAUCAGUCACACUGGAACUGAGACACGGUCCAGACUCCUACGGGAGGCAGCAGUGGGGAAUAUUGCACAAUGGACGAAAGUCUGAUGCAGCAACGCCGCGUGGAGGAUGACACAUUUCGGUGCGUAAACUCCUUUUAUAUAGGAAGAUAAUGACGGUACUAUAUGAAUAAGCACCGGCUAACUCCGUGCCAGCAGCCGCGGUAAUACGGAGGGUGCAAGCGUUACUCGGAAUCACUGGGCGUAAAGAGCGUGUAGGCGGGUAUAUAAGUCAGAAGUGAAAUCCAAUAGCUCAACUAUUGAACUGCUUUUGAAACUGUAUACCUAGAAUGUGGGAGAGGUAGAUGGAAUUUCUGGUGUAGGGGUAAAAUCCGUAGAGAUCAGAAGGAAUACCGAUUGCGAAGGCGAUCUACUGGAACAUUAUUGACGCUGAGACGCGAAAGCGUGGGGAGCAAACAGGAUUAGAUACCCUGGUAGUCCACGCCCUAAACGAUGUACACUAGUUGUUGUGAGGCUCGACCUUGCAGUAAUGCAGUUAACACAUUAAGUGUACCGCCUGGGGAGUACGGUCGCAAGAUUAAA